CAGCGUCUGGGGACAGCGUGUUGGGCUGUGGGGAGGUUACCGAAAGGAAACGGGCCGAGUCCAGUUGUUUGAGCGGUUUUCUCCUUCCACGAGCGUGUGUGAAAAAGCGCGGAGUUCGGUGGAGGGCAGCUGCCAGGACUGCCUCCUGGACUGGGUGCGGUAAUUGUACAUUUUUUCAUCCUACAUCUCAAGAGACCAAGGGACCUAAGUAAAUUGAUCUACUUGCCAAUGACUGUAAGAAAGACAAAGAAGUUGUAAAAACAUCCAAAUGAUGUUAAACAUAAAUUAGCUCAGAAUAGUUUGCAGAAGAUAAACUACCAGCGUCAAAGCAUGCAUUAAAAACUGGAAAGAAAUUAAAAGUGUGGUAUUGAAAGAUGUACAACUGACUUUGGA
This 393-nucleotide long non-coding RNA is filed under the name Homo sapiens (human). RNAcentral describes it as "non-protein coding lnc-FAM237B-2:5". The record is from RNAcentral. Lineage: Eukaryota; Metazoa; Chordata; Mammalia; Primates; Hominidae.